AACAGAAAACAAUAUUUUACCUCAAGUUCUCUUUGGAGGAUUGACAGCCCAUACUGUCCUCUUCGAGCAAUCCAGGAACUCACUCGCUACUAGUUUCGCCUUCUCGAUGACAUCAAGCGCGUCGUUAAAGACGGCACGCGAUGACUGGUCAGGAAGCAACGUGUAGUCUGACAUGUUUCUUGUCCACGACACGACAAGAUUUUAGGAGUCAAAAUCGCGUAAUCUGACACAGUGACUAUCGUAACAGACAAAAAAAAUCGUGUAAUCUGAACCAGGCAUUAAA
Molecule: long non-coding RNA, 283 nt
Organism: Rhinichthys klamathensis goyatoka
Lineage: Eukaryota; Metazoa; Chordata; Actinopteri; Cypriniformes; Leuciscidae
Exons: 2
Source: RefSeq, a predicted model, not a curated record